AAUGAACGCUGGCGGCGCGCCUAAUACAUGCAAGUCGAGCGAGAAGACGUAGCAAUACGUUUGCAAAGCGGCGAACGGGUGAGGAAUACAUGGGUAACCUACCCUCGAGUGGGGAAUAACUAGCCGAAAGGUUAGCUAAUACCGCGUACGCUCCUUGGACUUCGGUUCAGGGAGGAAAGCGAUACCGUGGGUAUCGCGCUCUUGGUUGGGCUCAUGUCCUAUCAGCUUGUUGGUGAGGUAACGGCUCACCAAGGCUUCGACGGGUAGCUGGUCUGAGAGGACGAUCAGCCACACUGGCACUGCGACACGGGCCAGACUCCUACGGGAGGCAGCAGUAAGGAAUAUUGGACAAUGGGGGCAACCCUGAUCCAGCCAUGCCGCGUGCGGGAAGAAGGCCU
RNAcentral lists this ribosomal RNA (398 nucleotides) under uncultured bacterium. RNAcentral describes it as "bacterial SSU rRNA". It matches the Rfam family "Bacterial small subunit ribosomal RNA", at positions 29 to 417 of the family's 1533-position model. The record is from RNAcentral.